UAUUAAAAAUUUCAUUCAUUUUUACUGUUAAAAACUAGCAUUGCUAACAGAACAAUCAAAUAGUGACAUGUGGUGUUCCAGGUGUACUUCAUGUUAACAUAUGGGAACCAGUCUUUAACGGUAGAAAUAGAUGUAAUUUUUAAUC
Non-coding RNA from Gossypium hirsutum (cotton), 145 nucleotides. NCBI's taxonomy places the organism in Eukaryota, Viridiplantae, Streptophyta, Magnoliopsida, Malvales, Malvaceae. The record is from Rfam.